UUGGAUUUAGGCUCCAUAGCAACCCCGGGCUCUGACACCGUGUCAUGUCUCCUGCUGGUGAGCGAAUCUGAACCGAGAGGGUUGACGUUUGAACGCGGAAGUGGAACCCAAUACGCCCCCACGCAAUAUACCACCAUGAAGAAGCUCAGACUUCAAUUCCAAAUUCCCAGACUCGUCAGAAUUCUGUGCUGGAUGUGGCAGUUCAGAGAGAUCUAACCCCAAGCCUCAGCCCACAACUCUUCUCUGUCUUGUACUGUGAGGGCUUUGUGCAUGUGUGUGGACACAGCCCACAAAUCCAAGGCCUAGUACCCAAUUCCUUGUGCUGUCACUCUCUGAUUGACCUAAAGGGAGGGCAGACCCAGAGGAGAGACCUGCUCAGGCAAUGCAACUCGGAGCUCAGUGAUGUUCUUGAGUCACCAAAUCUCCAGUUUCACCCUGAUGCACAGUGAUAUUAACUUCUUAGAAAUUACUGGAAAUCAUGCCCCUGUCCUUCAGCAGGGUCAUGAAUUGUUGAGGAAAUGCUGAGAUAUUAAGAAGUUUUGGCAGGGACUAAGGAAGUAGCCCAGUAGUAGAACACAUGCUUCGCAUAUACGAGGCAUAGAAAAAAAAUGUUUUGGCAUUUCUCAGUAAGGUUGAUUUUUCCUUAAGAGGUUAAAAAAAAAAAAGUCUCAUGAAAAGAACUCUCUACCUUUCUCCUACAGACCUUAGUAACUCUAUUCGUUGGUUCUGAGUGCCGUUAGUUAUUUUACUUCUUUUGUUCACUAGGUUAUAAAUGUUCACUCUUACCACCAAAAGGAAUGUCUUAGAAACCAAAUUUUAUGCCACUUCCUCCUAUCAAGCUAUAUGAGGAGAGGAUGACUAAUGGAUAAUUCUAAGGAAGUGCAAGAGUGGUUCCUGGUCACCAUUUGACCCAGCUAUCCCAUUCCUUGGUCUAUACCCAAAAGACUUAAAAUCAGCACACUACAGUGACACAGCCACAUCAAUGUUCAUAGCAGCUCAAUUCACAAUAGCUAGAUUAUGGA
Long non-coding RNA from Sciurus carolinensis (gray squirrel), 1022 nucleotides. RefSeq lists it as uncharacterized. The record is from RefSeq and is a predicted model, not a curated record. Lineage: Eukaryota; Metazoa; Chordata; Mammalia; Rodentia; Sciuridae. The transcript is spliced from 3 exons.